UACAUUGAUAAAUAUUUAAUGAUCCAUUUAUAGCUCAUAUUUCAUUAUUUAUCACAUAUAUAUGUCGCCGUGCGAUAUAUAAUAUGUUUCUAAUUAAAGCCAAAAUUCGGAUACUAUUACUCAUGAUUAAUCACUCAUCAACCACCAUGAUUUUACUAUUAUUUCUAUCACCGCUUUGAAAAAGAGGUAAAAACUCAAUAGACAUAUAAUCUACUUUUUAUAAUAAUGUCCAUAUACACCCAAUAAAAAGCUUCGCAAACAAAAUGAUUAUCGAGUAGGGCGAAAAUAGACCAAUCGCCCUUGUUAUUUGGGAGGAAAAUAUUUCGUCCAAAAAAAAAAAAAAAGGAAGAAAAUACAUGAAGUACAAAGUUGCCAGUUGUACGAUCUCUGUGAAUAGGCGCGACACCUUCCUCAUUACAAAGUUACGAACACUAUAUAGUUUACACUUUACACAUAUAGAAAUCGCAUU
Molecule: long non-coding RNA, 469 nt
Filed under: Brassica napus (rape)
Lineage: Eukaryota; Viridiplantae; Streptophyta; Magnoliopsida; Brassicales; Brassicaceae
Description: long non-coding RNA (BNAP_LNC001842)
Source: RNAcentral